UCUGGCUUGAACAGAGGGUGUGUGUUCACAGGUGCCAUGGAGUGACCAUCUUUGGCACUGCAGGCCAGAACAGCAGAAGUCAGUCUGCAGAGAGAGAGAAAUGAAACCAGGUGGAUAAGCAGAGAGGCGCCAAAGGGGUGAGCUGCCUGUGGUCCCAGCUCUCCAGAUGCCAUUUCUGGAUCCAACCUCACUUCCUGCCUGUGGUUUCUGAGAGGUUUCCUCAUAUCCUUUCAACUCAGUGCCUUCCUUUUUGCUUAUUUAUUGGGUUUCUAUUACAUGCAUCCAGAAGAACGUCCGCGAAGGCCAUGACUCACAGUUUACGGAGCGCCUUCACAUAGGAAGAUUUUCCGUGAGAUAACAUCCACUGCCAAUCCUCCUCUUUUCGUUUGUGAGCCGCUGCCACAGCAUGGCCAUUGACAGAUGAGUGGGACUGAAGAUCAUUCUGAAUAGAGAAAAGGGCCACAGGAGCUUGGCGUUCUGUCAUACUCUCUUCAGCGCUUUGUAUCACAGGCUGAGGAGCUUGAACUCGAUCUGGGUGCCUGUGAGGAUGGAGAUGAUGAAUUUAAAGUGCCUGGCUCCACAGAGGAUGUGUUCAUGGCCAUCUUGAGGAGUGUGAGGUGUGGAGCCUUAACUCUUGAGUGUGGAGUCCUGCACAGACUGAUCAGAGCCUUGGGCCUCCCAAUGCCAGGACUGAGACGCAUACAUGGCAACAAGAGUUCCAGUUACAUUUUCCCCAUGGCCAAAGAAGCCAAGUGAUUCUUGCUGACAGGCUGAAACCCCCUGGGCACGUUCCAGCUUAGUCUCAGAGAAUCCCUGAGGAACUGCUAUGGCUCAGUGAACCUGUCCUGGGUGAGCAGUGUUUCGUGCGGGUGUUGAAUAGAUGUUAAUGAUCAUAGAAUGUAAGCUCCAUGAAGGCAGAGACAUCGACCUUGGUCAUCUCUGCAUCCCCAGCACUUGGUGCAUAGUAAGUGCUCAAUAAAUAUUUGCUAAAUGAACA
Molecule: long non-coding RNA, 997 nt
Filed under: Equus asinus (donkey)
Lineage: Eukaryota; Metazoa; Chordata; Mammalia; Perissodactyla; Equidae
Description: lncRNA (ENSEASG00005034375.1)
Source: RNAcentral